GGCGGAGCCUCCUCAGAGGUGAGCAAUGGAGAGUCGAUGGAAUCGACCUUCCCAGGGCUUCAGAUGAGAUUGAUCGUGAUCUAAUUGUUAAAACGUGUGGCAACGUGUGGAGGAUGAGCUGCUGGCGUUAAAUCACCUCUCCUAAAAACUCCCACGACCUUUCACGCUUCUUGGCCCCGCUAACUCCACAUGGCCUCCUCUCGACAUCUUGUGAAUUCUGGGACGAUAGGACCUCUGCUGGAGGUGUUGCCCAGGUAGGUGUUCGAAAGGGACUUUUGCUGCUGCCGGAGCUGGCACAAGGGGAGCCAAGCUGGCCCGGGCAGAAAGGCAGCCGAAGGGAUUGGCUGAAUGGUGGGAGACCAGCAUUUCAAAGUAUUAGGCAAAGUAUUAGACCUGUGGUGACUUUGGUCUGAGACUUCCCUUUUCUGCACAUCACCAAACCCCCAGGAGGCUCCAAAGAAGGAUCCAAAUUGUUUUUUGGAGAGGGUAGGGUAGGAGGAGACUCAAUUUAAUCUGAUCGAAUCUGUUCCCAGGACCCACUACAUGUAGUGAGGCCCAAUGAUAAAACAUCCAGUUUGAGCUCUAAUUCUAAAAUAUGUUUAACCCAUUUCUCCCUUAAGAAGUGCAGCUCGCUGCAAGCAUUAAUUUGACAUGAACACACUCUUUGAGGCUGAAGCUAAUCUGACCCAUGUUCAAUGUAAAAAUAAAACAUAAAAACGGUUCUUGGAGUUAUUUCUAAACAGAACUCGUCUGUAAUCCUAAUGUAACAGAAAUGUACACAUAAAUCAGAUUCAUAAAAUGAAUCUUCGGUAACUGUUCGAGAACGAUGUUAACAUCACACGUAGGAAUGCUCUGUUUUCUAGGAUUUGACAUUUUCAGUGAUCGAGAAUCACUAUAUUCUGUAAAUGGAAAUACCACUCCUAAAAACAGAAUGCUAUCAAUAGAAUGAUGUCAUUUGUUAAACUUAAGACUAGAAAUACUACAACGAUGCAAAAAUAAUAAGAGCAAGGUAUUUCGUGGCAAACUUCGGGGAAAGUUAGGACUGUAAUCCACGAGUUAUCUUGAGGUUAACGCUGGCUGCAGCUUCAAAGUGCCACUGGCAAGUUCUCGGGGCAAACAGGAAAUGGGCGGAAGUGCAGACAAAAGUUGCCCACCCCUUACUCCCUGAACGCCUCAUGUGUGCUGGAGACAGAGGUGCCCAUGGUUCCCUGCCUGUUGUCCCCCGCACUGGGCCCUCUCACAGGUCAUCUUUAGGGCCAUCACUUACUCACUGUGUUCCCUUUUCCACCCAGCAUGGUGCGUGGAUAUUUGCUGAAUAAAUACAUUUAAGCCUUUUACUUCUUAAAAGAGUAUCUUAAAAAUACUCUUUACUUCUUAAAGAGUAUUUUAAAGGCAUGUAAUGAUCACACGGGGUAGUUCCUUAGUCGGAGCCAUAAAUCCGACAUGUGAGUACUGUACUGGCUAAGGAGAAAGAAAGCUGGACACGACAAGGGAUUCCGGCUUUUAUUUUUCCCCCUUUUCACAAAACAAAGUAGAAGAAAUAUAGGAUUAAAACCACAAAAGUAGUUAAAUUGGUAGAACACCUACGUAUACACAAAAAAAAUCCAGAUAAGAAGACAGGCUUAUUUACAAUGAAGAAACACAUGUAAAUUAAGGUAGUUUGUGGUUUUCAUAUGAAACAUUAAAAAAAAAAAAA
Molecule: long non-coding RNA, 1696 nt
Organism: Pteropus alecto (black flying fox)
Lineage: Eukaryota; Metazoa; Chordata; Mammalia; Chiroptera; Pteropodidae
Exons: 2
Source: RefSeq, a predicted model, not a curated record